This 21-nucleotide unclassified non-coding RNA is filed under the name Chlamydomonas reinhardtii. RNAcentral's name for it is "small RNA Cre_3795". Lineage: Eukaryota; Viridiplantae; Chlorophyta; Chlorophyceae; Chlamydomonadales; Chlamydomonadaceae. The record is from RNAcentral.
UUCAUGCUGAAGGAACCGUCG